UAAGGAAUAUUGGUCAAUGGAGGGAACUCUGAACCAGCCAUGCCGCGUGCAGGAAGACGGCCCUCUGGGUUGUAAACAGCUUUUAUUCGGGAAUAAACCUAUUUACGUGUAAAUAGCUGAAUGUACCGAAGGAAUAAGGAUCGGCUAACUCCGUGCCAGCAGCCGCGGUAAUACGGAGGAUCCAAGCGUCAUCCGGAUUUAUUGGGCUUUAAGGGUGCGUAGGCGGCUAAUUAAGUCAGGGGUGAAAGACGGUGGCUCAACCAUCGCAGUGCCCUUGAUACUGAUGAGCUUGAAUGGGCUAGAGGUAGGCGAAAUGUGGCAAGUAGCGGUGAAGUGCAUAGAUAUGUCACAGAACACCGAUUGCGAGGGCAGCUUACUAUGGUUUAAUUGACGCUGAGGCACGAAAGCGUGGGGAUCAAACA
RNAcentral lists this ribosomal RNA (422 nucleotides) under uncultured bacterium. RNAcentral describes it as "bacterial SSU rRNA". It matches the Rfam family "Bacterial small subunit ribosomal RNA", at positions 355 to 774 of the family's 1533-position model. The record is from RNAcentral.